Molecule: ribosomal RNA, 432 nt
Filed under: uncultured bacterium
Lineage: Bacteria
Description: partial 16S ribosomal RNA
Rfam family: Bacterial small subunit ribosomal RNA
Source: RNAcentral
CCUACGGGGGGCUGCAGUCGAGAAUUUUCCGCAAUGGACGAAAGUCUGACGGAGCGACGCCGCGUGGUUGAUGAAGUACUUAGGUAUGUAAAAACCUUUUAUGAGGGAAAUUGUACCUCAUGAAUAAGGGGUUGCUAAACUCGUGCCAGCAGCAGCGGUAAUACGAGUGCCCCAAGCGUUAUCCGGAAUUAUUGGGCGUAAAGGGUGAGUAGGUGGCUAUAUUAGUCUUGUGUUAAAGCCUUCGGCUCAACCGAAGAUAUGCAUAGGAAACGGUAUAGCUAGAGUAUGUGAGAGGUGUGUAGAACUCAUGGAGUAGGGGUGAAAUCCGUUGAUAUCAUGGGGAAUACCAAAAGCGUAGGCAGCACACUGGCACAUACUGACACUGAAUCACGAAAGCGUGGGUAGCGAAUGGGAUUAGAUACCCUUGUAGUC